GCCACUCCUGGGUGGUUUCCCGCAUGGGCAAGGGGCCCAGAAGUUCCCCCAAUGGCCUGUGGGCUUCUGUAUCUCCCCAGUAAAAUGAGUACAUUGAAAGAGAUGAUGUCUAAUCCCACUUCUAGCUCUAAAAUGCUAAAAGAGUGAUUUCUGAUUCCAACUUCAUAUUGCUAUAACGAUGCCAGAACUGUAGAUCAUCUUAGCUGUGAGAAAUGUGCUUAGGUUUUGAUGUAUGCUCCAGCGCAGUGGCUGAUCCGGUAUGGACAGGAUAACAGUGAGUCCCUCCGAUGUAUUUAGUAAGUACCGAGUCUUCACACUAUACUAGGACCAGAGAGCACAUGUGAGCGACCGUGCACAGUCCCCAACCGACCUGAACACUGACAGAUAUGAGGAAAAGCAUCCAGAAGAGUGGAUCUUGCAUUUUUUGCCUGAGUUUGUAAACAAAGCCGCCGCUGUGCCGCUGUCGCUCUCCAACACCAGCGCCGCCUCUAGCUCGCCGAGCUCCAGCCAAAGAAGGGGUAAGUGAGGAGGUCUCUUUGCCAUGGCUCCUACAAAGCAGACAGCCCACAAAUCCAUCCGGUGGUAAAGCACCCGGCUACAAAAGCCGCUCACAAGAGUGCGCCCUCUACUGGAGGGGUGAAGAAACCUCAUCGUUACAGGCCCGGUACGGUGGCACUCCGUGAAAUUAGACGUUAUCAGAAGUCCACUGAACUUCUGAUACGCAAACUUCCUUUCCAGCGUCUGGUGGAAGAAAUUGCUCAGGAUUUUAAAACAGAUCUGCACUUCCAGAGCGCAGCUAUUGGUGCUUUCUUUGCAGGAGGCAAGUGAGGCCUACUUGGUUGGCCUUUUCGAAGACACCAACCUGUGUGCUAUUCAUGCCAAACGUGUAACAAUAAUGCCAAAAGACAUCCAGCCAGCACGCCGCAUACAUGGAGAACGUGCUUAAGAAUCCACUAUGAUGGGAAACAUUUCAUUCUCAAAAAAAAAAUUUUUUUUCUCUU
This is a long non-coding RNA of Tupaia belangeri chinensis (Chinese tree shrew), 1001 nucleotides long. RefSeq lists it as uncharacterized. The transcript is spliced from 2 exons. The record is from RefSeq and is a predicted model, not a curated record. Lineage: Eukaryota; Metazoa; Chordata; Mammalia; Scandentia; Tupaiidae.